GUUAAGUCAGAUGUGAAAGCCCCGGGGCUCAACCUCGGAAUUGCAUUUGAAACUGGCAGACUAGAGUACUGUAGAGGGGGUAGAAUUUCAGGUGUAGCGGUGAAAUGCGUAGAGAUCUGAAGGAAUACCGGUGGCGAAGGCGGCCCCCCUGGACAGAUACUGACACUCACGAUGCGAAAGCGUGGGGAGCAAACAGGAUUAGAUACCCUGGUAG
RNAcentral lists this ribosomal RNA (214 nucleotides) under uncultured bacterium. RNAcentral describes it as "partial 16S ribosomal RNA". It matches the Rfam family "Bacterial small subunit ribosomal RNA", at positions 582 to 793 of the family's 1533-position model. The record is from RNAcentral.